Molecule: ribosomal RNA, 253 nt
Filed under: uncultured bacterium
Lineage: Bacteria
Description: partial 16S ribosomal RNA
Rfam family: Bacterial small subunit ribosomal RNA
Source: RNAcentral
UACGAAGGGGGCUAGCGUUGCUCGGAAUCACUGGGCGUAAAGGGUGCGUAGGCGGGUCUUUAAGUCAGGGGUGAAAUCCUGGAGCUCAACUCCAGAAUUGCCUUUGAUACUGAGGAUCUUGAGUCCGGGAGAGGUGAGUGGAACUGCGAGUGUAGAGGUGAAAUUCGUAGAUAUUCGCAAGAACACCAGUGGCGAAGGCGGCUCACUGGCCCGGUACUGACGCUGAGGCACGAAAGCGUGGGGAGCAAACAGG